AUGGACAGACCCGGCUCUCCCCACCCUGACCACGAGGGAGUUUCCAGCAAGGCUGCCUCCGGUCAAGAGCCCAGGACGCUGGAAUCAGGCCACAUCUGGUCUGUCCUUGCAGGAGGCUGGGCUGCACUUCAGGAAGCUCCUGGUUUAAGGCCCUGGACCCUGACCACCACAUGGCCAGAGAAAUUGUCGCCCAUCCCUGCUCUGCAGAGUCCGGACCUGCCCCUUCUCUUUCAGCCCUGCUGUCCCGUGAGUUUCUUCAGUACCUCAGCGAGAUGGGAAAGGGCCAAGCCUGCCAGGACCAAGACCAAGGCAGGUGAAGACGGGUCAUACUUUCAUGCUGACAAAGGCUCGCACAAGAACAAGGUGCUCCCGCCCCCAGCCAAGGCCUCCUGAUACACUCAGGGUAAGUUAGAUCUCACACACACCCUGGCAAGGAUUGGGAUAGGCCCAGAUCUCAGAGUUCAUUGAAUGUUUAUUACAUUUUAGAUCAAACUGAGUUAAAAUCAAGAGGCAUGAUUGAGCGUUUUCUAUGGCCAAGGGAAAUGAGAAUCCAAGAGCUAAACUGAAUUUAGUUAUAGUACUUUGUCCUGUAAAUUUUAAACCUCUGCAAAACUCUUUACAGUACAUUUUCAUCAUAUAAGGAAUGGCUUCUCUAUAGCUUUUCUUUUUCAGAAAUGAUUUGACUGCUGACUUUUUCACUCCAUCUGAUAAACUCUGAAUCACUUUGUCACAUUUCCCAAAAGCCCCUGGGAAGUUUCAAUGACUAUAUAAAAACCUAUAUAGUAAUCUGGGGGGAAAAUAAAACACAUUUUUCUUAACCUGUUAUAAUUUCA
This 833-nucleotide long non-coding RNA is filed under the name Sus scrofa (pig). Its description in RNAcentral is "lncRNA (ENSSSCG00015039477.1)". Lineage: Eukaryota; Metazoa; Chordata; Mammalia; Artiodactyla; Suidae. The record is from RNAcentral.